Molecule: ribosomal RNA, 415 nt
Filed under: Babesia canis canis
Lineage: Eukaryota; Apicomplexa; Aconoidasida; Piroplasmida; Babesiidae
Description: SSU rRNA
Rfam family: Eukaryotic small subunit ribosomal RNA
Source: RNAcentral
AAAGCUAAUUACCCAAUCCUGACACAGGGAGGUAGUGACAAGAAAUAACAAUACAGGGCGAAUGUCUUGUAAUUGGAAUGAUGGUGACCCAAACCCUCACCAGAGUAGCAAUUGGAGGGCAAGUCUGGUGCCAGCAGCCGCGGUAAUUCCAGCUCCAAUAGCGUAUAUUAAACUUGUUGCAGUUAAAAAGCUCGUAGUUGUAUUUUUGCGUUAGCGGUUUGACCAUUUGGUUGGUUAUUUCGUUUUCGCUUUUGGGAAUUUCCCUUUUUACUUUGAGAAAAUUAGAGUGUUUCAAGCAGACUUUUGUCUUGAAUACUUCAGCAUGGAAUAAUAGAGUAGGACUUUGGUUCUAUUUUGUUGGUUAUUGAACCUUAGUAAUGGUUAAUAGGAACGGUUGGGGGCAUUCGUAUUUAAA